GCCAGAUGUAUUUUGAAUUCAAAUAUACUUAAAUUUUAGAAAAGUAAUGUAGUCUAUUAUGUAAUACCAACAGCAGAGACUUUGGCAUUGAAUAAUCAAACACAUUUAUAAAAUAUUUCAGCAGGGAUAUUUGUGAAUAUUCAUACAAGGUAAGACAAAUAAAUAUGAUACAUAACUUUAUUUCAGUGUAAGCCAGCUUAAAUGAAUUCAGGCUGCAUACGUGUUCAGAUUGCCUCAAAAUAGAUUAUAAUUUUUUUUCAGUUUUCUGAGACUUUGGAUAUCAGAAUUGCAGAUAAGAGGAGAUUGGGGACUUCAAUUAAUAUUAGAAUGAAGAGAGGGGACUCUAGUAUUCAAUUCAGGAACAGAGAAGAAAUAGAAAUAUUCCAGGACUAAGUGAAGAAAAUGCAAAUUAAUAUGACCAGCAAAGGUAAGGAGUAAAGUGAAAAUUAUAUAAAACCUAGUCAACACCUUGUAUAUAUUUUAAGAAUUACAGAGUAAGGCAAAGGGGAUAAGCAAAAAUUCGUUAGGUAAUGGCAUGGGAAGAUCACAGAUGGGUGAAGGUAAUUAGAUAAUAUAAUUAUUUCUCCUUAGAUAUAACAAAUAAGGGGACAAACGGGUAUGCCCUCUGGUAAAUAUUGAUCUACAUAGUUGAUAUAGAGAAACUAUGGAAAUCACAUCAUAUUCGAAAACCAUACAUUAAAACCUCUAGACAUUUAUGAAUUUUAUUAUUUAUUUAUUUAUUUAUUUAUUUAUUUAUUUAUUUAUUUAUUUAUUUUG
RNAcentral lists this long non-coding RNA (777 nucleotides) under Canis lupus familiaris (dog). Its description in RNAcentral is "lncRNA (ENSCAFG00030024970.1)". Lineage: Eukaryota; Metazoa; Chordata; Mammalia; Carnivora; Canidae. The record is from RNAcentral.